UAAGCAUAGCAAUAACAAAUCCAUUCCAUGUUAACACAAAUAUUUCAAUGAAAUAUGUUAACUAUGUUUUCCAAAGCAGAAAUAACUUAGGGUAAAGAAUGGCUCUGCAAAUCUAGUUCGUAUGCAGCUUAACAGAAGAGAGUCUCUAAUGGCUGUUUCAGCAUAAGAAAUGGAAAGUGAAAUGUCGCACGCUAUUGUAGCUUCUAGAACUUUCCACAGUACACUUGUGAGAGAAUGAAAGUGAAAAGCAAUUAAUGUCUAAGAAUGACCAAGAAAAGAGUUUUGAUUUAAUGGGCUCCCUAAAAGCAUCUUAGGGACUUCCCAGGCCCUGCAUCCUGCUUGAAGAAAUGCUACCAUAGACACAUUGGCCUUUAUUUGGAUGGAAACUGGUCAAUAGGUUGACAGGAAAGAUAGGAAAUAAGGUCUGUUAUUAGUUGGCUUUUCGUUACUAUGACAAAAUACCAGAAGCUAGGUUACUUUGUUUUAAAAAGAGAAGUUUUAGCUCACAGUUCAGUAGGUUCAAG
This 524-nucleotide long non-coding RNA is filed under the name Marmota monax (woodchuck). The record is from RNAcentral. Lineage: Eukaryota; Metazoa; Chordata; Mammalia; Rodentia; Sciuridae.